Molecule: ribosomal RNA, 551 nt
Filed under: uncultured bacterium
Lineage: Bacteria
Description: partial 16S ribosomal RNA
Rfam family: Bacterial small subunit ribosomal RNA
Source: RNAcentral
UGGGGAAUAUUGCACAAUGGGCGAAAGCCUGAUGCAGCAACGCCGCGUGAGUGAUGAAGGUCUUCGGAUUGUAAAGCUCUGUCUUUUGGGACGAUAAUGACGGUACCAAAGGAGGAAGCCACGGCUAACUACGUGCCAGCAGCCGCGGUAAUACGUAGGUGGCGAGUGUUGUCCGGAUUUACUGGGCGUAAAGGGUGCGUAGGCGGAUGUUUAAGUGAGAUGUGAAAUACCCGGGCUUAACUUGGGUGCUGCAUUUCAAACUGGAUAUCUAGAGUGCAGGAGAGGAGAAUGGAAUUCCUAGUGUAGCGGUGAAAUGCGUAGAGAUUAGGAAGAACACCAGUGGCGAAGGCGAUUCUCUGGACUGUAACUGACGCUGAGGCACGAAAGCGUGGGUAGCAAACAGGAUUAGAUACCCUGGUAGUCCACGCCGUAAACGAUGAGUACUAGGUGUAGGAGGUAUCGACCCCUUCUGUGCCGCAGUAAACACAUUAAGUACUCCGCCUGGGAAGUACGAUCGCAAGAUUAAAACUCUAAAGUGAAUUGACGGGGUC